UGGGGAAUUUUGGACAAUGGGGGAAACCCUGAUCCAGCCAUCCCGCGUGUGCGAUGAAGGCCUUCGGGUUGUAAAGCACUUUUGGCAGGAAAGAAACGUCAUGGGUUAAUACCCCGUGAAACUGACGGUACCUGCAGAAUAAGCACCGGCUAACUACGUGCCAGCAGCCGCGGUAAUACGUAGGGUGCAAGCGUUAAUCGGAAUUACUGGGCGGAAAGCGUGCGCAGGCGGUUCGGAAAGAAAGAUGUGAAAUCCCAGGGCUCAACUUUGGAACUGCAUUUUUAACUACCGGGCUAGAGUGUGUCAGAGGGAGGUGGAAUUCCGCGUGUAGCAGUGAAAUGCGUAGAUAUGCGGAGGAACACCGAUGGCGAAGGCAGCCUCCUGGGAUAACACUGACGCUCAUGCACGAAAGCGUGGGGAGCAAACAGG
Molecule: ribosomal RNA, 429 nt
Filed under: Acidobacteriota bacterium
Lineage: Bacteria; Pseudomonadati; Acidobacteriota
Description: Acidobacteria bacterium partial 16S ribosomal RNA
Rfam family: Bacterial small subunit ribosomal RNA
Source: RNAcentral